RNAcentral lists this ribosomal RNA (382 nucleotides) under uncultured bacterium. Its description in RNAcentral is "bacterial SSU rRNA". It matches the Rfam family "Bacterial small subunit ribosomal RNA", at positions 28 to 337 of the family's 1533-position model. The record is from RNAcentral.
GAUGAACGCUGGCGGCGUGCCUAAUACAUGCAAGUCGAGCGGUAAGGCUUCAACAGUUUAUUUGACCAGAUAAGUUCUGCUAAUAAGCGGAAUACUGUCUGCAGCGAGGUUCUCCGGCUGGAGAACUAAGGUCGAAUGAAGUGUUGAAGUACACGAGCGGCGGACGGCUGAGUAACGCGUAGGAACGUACCCCAUAGUGAGGGAUAAGCACCGGAAACGGUGUCUAAUACCGCAUAAUCUCUUCGGAGCAAAGCCUUGUGCGCUUUGGGAGCGGCCUGCGUAUGAUUAGCUUGUUGGUGAGGUAAAAGCUCACCAAGGCGACGAUCAUUAGCUGGUCUGAGAGGAUGAUCAGCCAGACUGGGACUGAGACACGGCCCAGACU